GUUGAGAACCGUUACUUGACUGGUACCUCCAGCCCACCAGCAGGCAAUGAUGGCAUCAGACUAGAGGAUCACCAGUAAAUCAUUGUAAACAUUCUUGAAUAUGAGUCAGUCUGGUAUGAACAUACCUCUAACAGCCUCGCAUACACACUUGCUGAUCUCCCCCUUACAAGCAACAGAAAACAGGUCUUGACCCAGAGCCUUCAACAAACAAGCGUGGAAAGAGAGAAAGUCCACUUUAAGCGAUGGAAAAUCAGCCCCAAUUCUGAAGGAACAACCAUGAACAGAUGAUUUAAGGAGAAUCAAUUCUUUGCUCUUUGCAGAAGGAGCCAACAGAGUGAGAUGAAGGGGACAACUUCAGAUACUCAGGCAGAAGCAUAAGUCCCCACCUGCUGACCUGCUGCCUGCUAUCUUAACACGAAUUCUUCAUCUGAAUGGAUGAGCUUUUCACAGAGUUCCAAACUAAGGAAUCCAGGAGUGGCCAAUCCAGAGAUUCAUUCCUUAUCUUUGACGAACAUCUGAACUCCUGGCUCAUCCUGUGGAAUUCAGGCCAUACAGGAGAUCAAGGUCAUUUGCUUUGGGUUAAAUGAAUGUUGCCAGGUGGAGGUUGCUAGAGGGAGAGUGCUAUGUGAAAGUGCUGUAUAAACUGCUUGCUUUUCACAAACAGUAGUGAUUCUUUAUCCUGUCCAGCCUGCCACAACUGGACCAUCCUGUAUGUAAGUCCCCUUAAUAAAUCCUGUGUCUCAUUCACUGGCUUCAAGUCUCUUCCUGGGCCUCUUGAACGUGGUGCCACCUGUAUUGAAGUCAACAGAAGUUCAGCACAACACAGGUCAAAAUGAAGAUUCUGACUCAGUAGGUCAGGAUGUUCUAACGAGCUCUAGCUGACAUGAUACGUCAGGGCUGCAGACUAGCUUUGAGCAACAAGGUGCUAGAGAAAUACCUAUAG
This 943-nucleotide long non-coding RNA is filed under the name Homo sapiens (human). RNAcentral's name for it is "HSALNT0319130". Lineage: Eukaryota; Metazoa; Chordata; Mammalia; Primates; Hominidae. The record is from RNAcentral.